AUACGGAGGAUGCGAGCGUUAUCCGGAUUCAUUGGGUUUAAAGGGUGCGUAGGCGGAUUUUUAAGUCAGUGGUGAAAGCCUGAGGCUCAACCGUGGAAUUGCCGUUGAAACUGGACGUCUUGAGUGUAUUUAAUGUGGGCGGAAUGCGUGGUGUAGCGGUGAAAUGCUUAGAUGUCACAAAGAACACCGAUUGCGAAGGCAGCUUACCGGGCUAGUACUGACGCUGAUGCUCGAAAGCGUGGGGAUCAAACAGGAUUAGAUACCCUGGUAGUCCACGCAGUAAACGAUGUAUACUCGCUGUUUGCGAUAUACAGUAAGCGGCCAAGCGAAAGCAUUAAGUGAACCACCUGGGGAGUACGCCGGCAACGGUGA
This 372-nucleotide ribosomal RNA is filed under the name uncultured bacterium. Its description in RNAcentral is "bacterial SSU rRNA". It matches the Rfam family "Bacterial small subunit ribosomal RNA", at positions 523 to 897 of the family's 1533-position model. The record is from RNAcentral.